AUCACCUACCAUGCGGCGGUCCUCCCCCUACCAAAAUGGGCGCUCAAGAAGAUGGACAAGUUGGCUCGGAAUUUUAUUUGGAGCGCUGAUGACAAUGACAAUACCGGUGCGGGGCGCUCCCUAGUAAAUUGGAAAUUGGUAUGCACCCCCAAAAACUUGGGUGGACUUGGGGUGAUUGACCUGGAGCGCUUUGGAUCGGCAUUGCGGCUGCGAUGGCCUUGGUACGAGUGGGUAGACCCUAACCGGCCAUGGGUGGGCACCGACCUGCCCUGCACUGAAUCUGACAUGGCGCUAUUCCGGGCCUCCGCGACUAUCACCAUCGGAGAUGGGAAGCGUGCCGGUUUCUGGAAGGAUAAAUGGAUCUGUGAUUCUCCGCUAUGCACUCGUGCCCCUAAGCUCUACAAGAUUGCUACAAGAAAGAAUAGGACGGUUUGUGAAGAUCUGGAGGAGGAUUGCUGGAUUACUGUCAUUGCCCGGUUGAGCACUGUCGUCCAGCUCUGUGAAUUCCUCGACAUUUGGCAGCUUGUACAUACCACCGGCAUUGACCCCUCCCGUCCAGACUCCAUCCGCUGGAACUUGACGGGUUCAGGGGAAUACUCCAGCAAGUCUACCUACCGUAUGCAGUUCUCUGGUCGCUUGGUGCCUUUCCGCUUUGCUAAGGUUUGGAAAGCACAUGCCACCCCCAAAUGCAAGCUCUUCGCCUGGCUUGUCCUGCAUGGAAGGAUCCUCACGGCAAGAAACCUAGCAAUCUGUGGAUGGCCACACAAUCCGAUAUGCCGCCUUUGCAUGGCAUCCAAUGAGACGGUCACUCAUCUCUGUAGAGAUUGCCCCUUCUCGCAGGCGGUCUGGAGGACCGUCAACGCCGCGGAGGGAAUGCCUAACCCAAGCCCACCGGACGAUGGAACCUCCAUCAACACGUGGUGGAAGGGCUUCCUUGCCAGUGUUCCAGCUCAGAAUAGGCGGGAGCAUAGUGGUGCCAUGAUCUACACGCUCUGA
RNAcentral lists this ribosomal RNA (996 nucleotides) under Triticum aestivum (bread wheat). Its description in RNAcentral is "partial small subunit ribosomal RNA". Lineage: Eukaryota; Viridiplantae; Streptophyta; Magnoliopsida; Poales; Poaceae. The record is from RNAcentral.